Argentina anserina (silverweed cinquefoil) is the source of this 1303-nucleotide RNA transcript. It is a transcript of the gene named protein LIGHT-DEPENDENT SHORT HYPOCOTYLS 10, with no coding region annotated. NCBI's taxonomy places the organism in Eukaryota, Viridiplantae, Streptophyta, Magnoliopsida, Rosales, Rosaceae. The record is from RefSeq and is a predicted model, not a curated record. The transcript has 3 exons.
CCCUCAAUCCAUCUCUUUUUAAUUUUGCCUCCUCCUAGCCUAUUCUUUUCACCUCCCUCAGCCCCUCCAUUAUUUGUUAGCUAGCUUUGCUUUAUUUAGCAAAAGAAAAUAUCAAGCUAGUUCAUCAGAUAUUCAGAUUCUCCACUGAUCCAUCAAUCCACCAUCGAUCGAUCCAUCACUGUGAGAUGUCUCUCGACAGAGGUAAGGAAUUCUCAGGUGCAGAAGGAUCGUCGUCGGGGUACUCGAGUCCGAGUCCCACCGAUCAUCAUGACCAUCAGCAGCAGCCUGCGACGCCCAGCAGGUAUGAGUCGCAGAAGAGGAGAGACUGGAACACUUUCGGGCAGUACUUGAAGAACCAGAGACCUCCAGUCCCUCUCUCCCAGUGCAAUUACAGCCACGUCCUGGAGUUCCUCAGGUACCUCGAUCAGUUCGGGAAGACCAAAGUCCAUCUCCAAGGUUGUAUGUUUUACGGCCAGCCAGAGCCACCUGCGCCUUGUACAUGUCCUCUCCGGCAGGCUUGGGGAAGCCUGGAUGCACUCAUAGGGAGGCUGAGGGCUGCUUAUGAGGAGAACGGCGGGUCCCCUGAGAGCAACCCUUUUGCUAGCGGUGCAAUCAGGGUUUACUUGAGGGAGGUCAGGGAGUGUCAGGCCAAGGCUAGAGGGAUUCCUUACAAGAAGAAGAAGAAGAAGCCGACGGCAACAACUCCGAACAGCGGCAGCAGCAGCAGAGGAGGAGGACCUGGAAAUAGUGAUCGUGAUUCUUCAACAAGUUCUAUCAUGCACUUCUCUUGAUCGAUGCAGGACCCUUAAUUUUCAGAAAGUUGGAUCAUGUCGAAAAUGAAUGGAAUAUGGAAACUAGGAAUUGUGCCAAGAUAAAUCACCUUGAAGUUUCAGUACUAUUGCUGUUAAACUUGAAUUGUUUUUCCUUUUUUUAAAUAUCUAUAAGGAAGUUGAUUUCUAGCUCUUUCGUCAAGGUGGCCACUGCACUAGAUUGAGCUUGUAGAGUUGUAGUAGUCAUCGCCUCAAUGCCAAGAAUCGAUCAAUUUCUUAGGCAUGCCAGCAUGAAACUAAACAGCAGUCAAUCGUCAUUCAUUCCUUUGCAGUUUGGAAAUUCGGUUGUAAGCAUCUUGUCAUGGUCUUUUGAUAUCGCUCAUGCAAUAAAGUGUAGAUCGACAAUGUCCUUUGAUGUUCUUCAUAAUCUGGAGUUCUCUUUGUUCGCCUUUUGUUCUCCAAAUCUCUUUGAUCCCCUCUUAAUUCGGUUUUCUGCGAAUGCCAUGUCUUUGUUCCAUUGUUGUGACAUGGCU